GACGAACGCUGGCGGCGUGCUUAACACAUGCAAGUCGAACGGUGAAGCUCCAGCUUGCUGGAGUGGAUCAGUGGCGAACGGGUGAGUAACACGUGAGCAACCUGCCCCUGACUCUGGAAUAAGCGCUGGAAACGGCGUCUAAUACUGGAUACGAGAAGGGUCCGCAUGGGCACUUUCUGGAAAGUUUUUCGGUUGGGGAUGGGCUCGCGGCCUAUCAGCUUGUUGGUGAGGUAAUGGCUCACCAAGGCGACGACGGGUAGCCGGCCUGAGAGGGCGUCCGGCCACACUGGGACUGAGACACGGCCCAGACUCCUACGGGAGGCAGCAGUGGGGAAUAUUGCACAAUGGGCGAAAGCCUGAUGCAGCGACGCCGCGUGAGGGAUGACGGCCUUCGGGUUGUAAACCUCUUUCAGCAGGGAAGAAGCGAAAGUGACGGUACCUGCAGAAGAAGCACCGGCUAACUACGUG
Molecule: ribosomal RNA, 468 nt
Filed under: uncultured bacterium
Lineage: Bacteria
Description: partial 16S ribosomal RNA
Rfam family: Bacterial small subunit ribosomal RNA
Source: RNAcentral